Dinoponera quadriceps is the source of this 1363-nucleotide long non-coding RNA. RefSeq lists it as uncharacterized. NCBI's taxonomy places the organism in Eukaryota, Metazoa, Arthropoda, Insecta, Hymenoptera, Formicidae. The transcript is spliced from 4 exons. The record is from RefSeq and is a predicted model, not a curated record.
AACCGCGUAGGCAGCGUGAAUCAUUCGUCGGCAGCCGAUCUUCGAACCUCGUUCAGCGUCUGAGCGCGCGAUCGCAGCGACGACAACGGCGGCGGCUGCGGCGACGAAAACGAAGAUGGCGGCGGCGGCGUCGGAAUUGCAGAAAUCACGCUUCUUAAUUAAUCUCCGAGCGAGCGAACUUCGUCCGGGCGAUGGACCGAUAAGGCGCACGUGAACGAGCACGGGGGCGGCAACGAAAUAACGUCUACCGAGUGUGUUUGCUCGCACAUAGCGAACGCUGCUUGCAGGGUAAUGUCUUCAUUUCGACCCUCGCGCGAGCGCGCGCUUUCUCCUCCGUCUGUCUUUUUCCUUCUCGCUUAUGCGCGCGGAUUAAAAAUAUAUGCCGUGUAUCUGCUGCGAAGACUGUAAUUAAACGUCGGCGUGUUACAUCACGGCGAAAAUAAUCGACGCACGCGCGAUUGCGUCCUGGCGGAUUCGGAGCAUUCGACGGAUAAACAUUGCUUAAUAAACAAAGAGCGCAUUGUUACGUACGACGCGGCGAGACGCGCGACAAGAAAGAGAGAGAGAGAGAGAGCGAGAAAGAGAAACACGGGUGUCGCUCCGGUGCAAUAAAAAUAUCGCGUUAUUUACGCGUCGAGCGUGCGAGCGUUGAAAACAAGGCGUUCAAGAGCCGAUUUGUAAUGAGAGCGCGAUUGAGGGACAAGUUGAGAGAUUACUAGCAGAGAGGACGAAAGAGAGAGCAUCGUUUCGUAAAACCGAUCGAUCAUCCCGGAAUGUAAAAGGAUGGCGCGCGUAAUGGCCGCCAUUUCGGAAGGAUCCGCCGCGGCGAAAACGGACUACGAAAGAGAAGUUGCUGCGUUGGAUCGCGUCUCAAUCCUUGAUUCGACCCUCCGCGACAUCGCCUCAACGGCGACUAUUUAUCGCUGACCUGCCAGCGGAAAUUUGGCAACGACUUACUAGGGCAAUGAUGCUGUACCCUCGAUGCUUUACGCGCGCUCAUCACGAUCAUCGCGUCGAAAUCGACCGUUCUCCUUCGCACGAAACAAAGUAAACAUUUUCCGUCGAAAGAGAUCCUCGAUCGAUCGUGGGUGGCCGCACAUUCGUUACGGCGACUUCCGGUAUAUCGUGCCGGUAGCGGCCAGACAGAAACACCGGGGCAGGUCUACCAGCAGAAACUGGGAUUUGGAUAGCGGAAUGUGGCCAGCUCUGAGUUCCGGACGGUUCGGUGAUAAAUACAGAAAAAAUAUAUAAAAAUUCAAAGCAGUAGGUUUUUGUAGUAUCUCGUUGGAAUCAGUUAUUUUGCCUAUAGAUUUACGUUUACGUUUGUGUGUGUUAAUUAAAACUUAAUGAAAGUAAUAUUAAA